RNAcentral lists this long non-coding RNA (507 nucleotides) under Triticum aestivum (bread wheat). Its description in RNAcentral is "long non-coding RNA (TAES_LNC022113)". Lineage: Eukaryota; Viridiplantae; Streptophyta; Magnoliopsida; Poales; Poaceae. The record is from RNAcentral.
UCAGCUGUGAACUGGCAGGAGAAGUGGUAGUGAUCCUCAAAUUUCUUCCAGUAAAGGUCGGAGUUGGGAUACUUGGUUUUCUCGAGUGCAUGCGCAAUGGUACACUGCACAUGAGGAAAUAAGAAAUAUCAUAGGAUACUACGGAGAUCAGAAUACAUCUUGUAUUGAGCAAAAGGGGAUAGAAUGCGUACAUGAGUAACUCCCAACUUGUGAGCCAACAAACACGCGACUAGGUUGCCAUCACUGUAGUUUCCAAUGAUCAGGUCAGGAGUGGCCUGCAGCUCUCCGGCGAUCUCGUGUGCCACAUCCUGAAAGCAACAUGAAAAAAAUGAUGGAUUGCUAUUCUAAUGAAACACUACAAACAACCUGCUGGAAAGUGAAAUGCAUACAUCAGUGUAAGCUUCCAGGUAAGGCCAGACUUCAAAGCGGGAGAUCCAUUUGCGAACAAUACCAUCUUCUGUUUUGAAUGGCACACGCAGGAUGUGGGUGUGCUCGGUGCCAAGGACC